Molecule: small nuclear RNA, 126 nt
Filed under: Podarcis muralis (Common wall lizard)
Lineage: Eukaryota; Metazoa; Chordata; Lepidosauria; Squamata; Lacertidae
Description: U2 spliceosomal RNA (ENSPMRG00000008022.1)
Rfam family: U2 spliceosomal RNA (bases 1-107)
About the family: U2 is a small nuclear RNA (snRNA) component of the spliceosome (involved in pre-mRNA splicing).
Source: RNAcentral
UUCGCUUCUCGGCCUUUUGGCUAAGAUCAAGUGUAGAAAAUUAAUAAAUAUUUUAGUGUGGAUUUCUAAUAUAUACAUUGUUGUAUGCAUCUGUAUGCACACCCCACCCCAGCAUAUGCAAUUAUU